Molecule: ribosomal RNA, 117 nt
Filed under: Danio rerio (zebrafish)
Lineage: Eukaryota; Metazoa; Chordata; Actinopteri; Cypriniformes; Danionidae
Source: RNAcentral
AACCACAGCCACAUCACCCUGCAGCCCAAGACCAGUCACUCACUGAAGCUAAGCAGGGCUGAGCCUGGUCAGUACCUGGAUGGGAGACCACUAGGGAACACUAGGUUGCUGUUGGAA